UAUGAUCAAGAAACCCAAAAUUCUACUGGUUACACCAGCCUUGGAGCCAUGUAUCAACCUCCUGGAUGUGCCUCUCUGCUACUGAAAAAAGAAAGAAAUAACUACCUGUAAACUCUCCCACAAGUUGAUGUGCCGUAUCCUGACUGAUGCAACGUGCCCUGUUGGCCUGCUCUCUUUGCUGCACUCCUGGUUGCAGUCAAAUAGGAAGAACAAGUCUUGAGUCCAAUAUUAAGCUUUGAGUACAUUCCAAUAUUGACACCAAUGAGAAAUACAGCAAAAAAGAGCUGGGAUGCUGUGGUUCAAUGUCCUUAACUUAAAUAUUCACUCUUUCCUCUGUCUUUCUUAAAUUCCUGCUGCUUCUUUUCAUGCAAUUGAAGUUUAGCUUUCAGAAACUCUAAUUUUUGGAAAGAAUCUUUGAGGUACUGAUGAAAAGAACUGAUCUUUUAAAGACAGCAUUAAGAAAUAACAAAAAAUAAAAUCAUCAUAGCAAUUACCACCACAAUUACUUGAUCUCAAUGCUUAAUACAUAGACAUAGCUUUCACAUAGUUAUGCAAGUUAAAUCUGCAGUCUCUCAUUCUUUCUACAACAUUUUCAGAAAAAAAAAUGUACAUGGCAGCAACGUGAUCUAUGACCUUUUAGUGCAUGAAAUUCUUACAAUGUCAGAGAGAGAGAGAGGAAGAGAGAAUUAAUCAACACAAUGCCAAAAGUGAUUCAUAAUUCCAUGUAACUCAACCUGCCAUCUGCAGUACAGGCCAUAGAAAUUAGAUAGUUAAGAAGAGGUAGGAGGCUAUGAUCUGUCAAUGUGCUUCAUGUUUUCCCUUGCAAAAAUGUAACAAAUGCUGUAUCAUUUGCGUACCAACCUGUUUUGUUAAUUCAGAGCCAGCAAGAGUAUAUAGCAAGGGAUUAUGCUGUAAUAUAAAGGCAUAGCCUGUAAAGUUAGAUAUUAGAGAUUUUCAAUUCUACUGCUGCAGUAUCUUCAGGGGACAAAUUUUUAUAGCUGUUUUCCUUGUACCAAUACAUGGGACAAGGAAGCAGUCGGACUUUGUGCUAUGUGACAUCACCAUACAUCAAGUGCCUUCAUGCCUUUCUUCAGUCAUGUCACUGGGAUAACAGAAGAAUGCAGCUUGUGUAGCAUCAGAUCUGAGCAUGUUUUUGAAGUGCUGGCAAAAAAAAAAAAAAAAAAAAAAAAAAAAA
This 1195-nucleotide long non-coding RNA is filed under the name Gallus gallus (chicken). Its description in RNAcentral is "lncRNA (ENSGALG00010024315.1)". Lineage: Eukaryota; Metazoa; Chordata; Aves; Galliformes; Phasianidae. The record is from RNAcentral.